Molecule: ribosomal RNA, 463 nt
Filed under: uncultured Campylobacterota bacterium
Lineage: Bacteria; Pseudomonadati; Campylobacterota
Description: bacterial SSU rRNA
Rfam family: Bacterial small subunit ribosomal RNA
Source: RNAcentral
GCUUAACACAUGCAAGUCGAACGAUGAUUGGAGAGCUUGCUCUUCAUGAUUAGUGGCGCACGGGUGAGUAUACCAUAGAUAAUGUACCCCUUAGUUUGGGAUAGCCACUGGAAACGGUGAUUAAUACCAGAUACUCCUUCUUGUCCUAAGGCAAGUCGGGAAAGUUUUUUCGCUAAGGGAUCAGUCUAUGUCCUAUCAGCUAGUUGGUGAGGUAAUGGCUCACCAAGGCUAUGACGGGUAUCUGGUUUGAGAGGAUGAUCAGACACACUGGAACUGAGACACGGUCCAGACUCCUACGGGAGGCAGCAGUGAGGAAUAUUGCACAAUGGAGGAAACUCUGAUGCAGCAACGCCGCGUGGAGGAUGACGCAUUUCGGUGUGUAAACUCCUUUUAAGAGGGAAGAUAAUGACGGUACCUCUUGAAUAAGCACCGGCUAACUCCGUGCCAGCAGCCGCGGUAAUAC